AAGACAAUGCUGAAUGAAGUCGUCCUUUUUGCUAUUUUUGGACCAAAAUGUAUUUUCGAUGCUUCAAAAAAUUUCAACGUACCCUCUGAUGUCACAUGGACUACUUUGAUGAUGUUUUUCUUACCUUUCUGGACAUGGACACACAGCUUCAAUGGAGGGACUAGCUCUCGGACUAUCUAAAAUAUAUUAAACUGUGUUCUGAAGAUAAAAGGAGGUCUUACAUGUUUGGAACAGCAUACACUCUAAAAAAUAAUUCAAGGGAUCUGUUACCACUACAUAAUUUAAUACAUUGUUGUAAAUGAAAAAUUCUAAAUUGUUAAUUUGAUUAAACCUUUUAAGUUGCCAGCAUUAUUUUAAUGAGUUGUCAUGACAGAAUAAUGUUGAUAAUUACAUCAACUUAAUAAUGUAUGUAAUUUAAACAUAAAUAUAUGUGUUGAGUAGUUUAAACCAAUAUUUAUGUUGUAGCAACCCAAUGCAAUUGGCUUGAUAACUUAAUUUUUCCACACCAUUUGAGUUCAGGAUUUCAAAGCUCCUCCCCCACUUAACGAGCAAGUAGCAAGUUCAGACAUGUUUUAGGCUGACCAGUAGGACAUGAAGGACGUUUCAAGGUGAGUAAUCUGAGUUUUAUUUCAUUUACAAAUAAAUUAUCUCCAUUUAACUAAAGGUUUACCUACACCUGGUAAUACAAUUGAUGUUAGCAGUGUAAUUUGACCAGAAUAGCAAUGGAUAAGAAUGUAAAAACGGUUUCAUUGAAAAAUAUUCUCAGCCAGAGAGAAAAUUUCAUUUAUGCUGUAAAUAGGAAAAUAUCUUGAUGCACAUUUUUAAAAAAUCUGUCGUCAUUCACACAGAUAGCAUUCAAGUUUUAAUGUAGGCAGUUUGUUAUUUAUUUAGACUAUCACACUAGAAUCAUUUAGAUUUGUCAAGUUGUUGUCAUUCACCUGUUCAGAUUAAAGUAUAUUUAUUUAGUGUUGGCACUUUCUCUUUAUUCUUUUUUCAUUUUUAUUAAAUAGCACAAAACAAUUGAAGUAUGGAGAGAUGUAGCUAUCCGCUGUCUUGUCUAUCUUGGAGAGUAAGAACAGGACCUUUUCAAGGAGUUUGCUGGCACACACGGGUUUGAGGAAGACAUUGAAAGGCAAGUGACGACAAUUGCCAUCAUCGGUGAUCAACCUACUUCAGGAUUUGACCACGGCAACCAUUGUGGUUGAGGGCAUCAAAAUCCUGAAUGGAAUGGAUAUCUCAAGGUGCUAUCCUCUGCUGAUGGGUAGAAUAUAUGAGUUACCCCAAGGAACUUAAAUAUACAUGUGAAGUGUUUCAGAAGCUGUUUCUUGAACUUGAUGGACUGAAACCCAGUGCAAAAGUAAUGUGUCUGAAGAACAGUAUUUUCUGAGAUGUCUACUUGUUCCAGAAGAUUUUUUUUUCCUGUAGGCUGAUCUUUGUGUUAUAUUUCAUACUGAGGUUAAUAUAUGAAUUUCAGUAGCAUUUAUAUAUGCUUGUUUGUGACAGUAGCAAUCUUAGAUGUUUUAAAAAUGGGGUUUACUGUGAAGAAAUAGUUUUAAAAUGUAAAGUUUUCAGAUUGUUUGACACUGUGGAAAUAUAUGCAAAUGCCAAUAUCUUUGCUGUGUUGGAAUUAAUUCACUGUGAUUGAAUAACUGUAUGCAUACAAAUGUUUUAAAGGCAAAUCUGUAGGGCCAGUUUGUAAUUUGUGGAGAGCACACAUUUUUGUUUUGUAAAUUGUGCUAAGUGCAAAAUUUUGAAACUCAAAUUUUGAAACUGCAGUCCAAAAUAAAAAUAAAAAGUUAACUAACAAAA
Molecule: long non-coding RNA, 1809 nt
Organism: Carassius gibelio (silver crucian carp)
Lineage: Eukaryota; Metazoa; Chordata; Actinopteri; Cypriniformes; Cyprinidae
Exons: 2
Source: RefSeq, a predicted model, not a curated record